RNAcentral lists this unclassified non-coding RNA (226 nucleotides) under Hevea brasiliensis (rubber tree). The record is from RNAcentral. Lineage: Eukaryota; Viridiplantae; Streptophyta; Magnoliopsida; Malpighiales; Euphorbiaceae.
GGUAUUCCAUCUGAACUUGGUCAGUUGAAUUCUCUUACAGUUUUAGAUCUGUCUCAUAAUGCCAUAACAGGAACCAUCCCUGAAAGUUUGACAAAUGCCCAAAAUCUUGAAAUCGUGUUACUCAACAACAAUGCGCUUUCUGGGGAGAUACCAUCAUCUUUCUCAACCCUUUCCAAUCUUUCCAUGUUAGAUGUUUCUUUCAAUCACCUUUCAGGUCAUAUACCCC